AGUGAACGCUGGCGGUAGGCCUAACACAUGCAAGUCGAACGGCAGCACAGAGGAGCUUGCUCCUUGGGUGGCGAGUGGCGGACGGGUGAGGAAUACAUCGGAAUCUACUCUGUCGUGGGGGAUAACGUAGGGAAACUUACGCUAAUACCGCAUACGACCUACGGGUGAAAGCAGGGGACCUUCGGGCCUUGCGCGAUUGAAUGAGCCGAUGUCGGAUUAGCUAGUUGGCGGGGUAAAGGCCCACCAAGGCGACGAUCCGUAGCUGGUCUGAGAGGAUGAUCAGCCACACUGGAACUGAGGCACGGUCCAGACUCCUACGGGAGGCAGCAGUGGGGAAUAUUGGACAAUGGGCGCAAGCCUGAUCCAGCCAUACCGCGUGGGUGAAGAAGGCCUUCGGGUUGUAAAGCCCUUUUGUUGGGGAAGAAAUCCAGCUGGCUAAUACCCGGUUGGGAUGACGGUACCCAAAGAAUAAGCAUCGGCUAACUUCGUGCCAGCAGCCGCAGUAA
Molecule: ribosomal RNA, 506 nt
Filed under: uncultured bacterium
Lineage: Bacteria
Description: partial 16S ribosomal RNA
Rfam family: Bacterial small subunit ribosomal RNA
Source: RNAcentral